AUUGAACGCUGGCGGCAGGCCUAACACAUGCAAGUCGAGCGCGAAAGGUUCUUCGGGACUGAGUAGAGCGGCGGACGGGUGAGUAACGCGUAGGAAUCUACCCAGUGGUGGGGGACAACUUGGGGAAACUCAAGCUAAUACCGCAUACGCCCUACGGGGGAAAGCGGGGGACCUUCGGGCCUCGCGCCAUUGGAUGAGCCUGCGUUGGAUUAGCUAGUUGGUGGGGUAAAGGCCCCCCAAGGCGACGAUCCAUAGCUGGUCUGAGAGGAUGAUCAGCCACACUGGGACUGAGACACGGCCCAGACUCCUACGGGAGGCAGCAGUGAGGAAUUUUCCGCAAUGGGCGCAAGCCUGACGGAGCAAUACCGCGUGAAGGAUUAAGGCCUAUGGGUUGUAAACUUCUUUUCUCAGAGAAGAAUUUUGACGGUAUCUGAGGAAUAAGCAUCGGCUAACUCUGUG
Molecule: ribosomal RNA, 459 nt
Filed under: uncultured Gammaproteobacteria bacterium
Lineage: Bacteria; Pseudomonadati; Pseudomonadota; Gammaproteobacteria
Description: bacterial SSU rRNA
Rfam family: Bacterial small subunit ribosomal RNA
Source: RNAcentral